Molecule: long non-coding RNA, 1786 nt
Organism: Marmota monax (woodchuck)
Lineage: Eukaryota; Metazoa; Chordata; Mammalia; Rodentia; Sciuridae
Exons: 2
Source: RefSeq, a predicted model, not a curated record
AAUGGAUUCCACACACGGCCCCUGGCAGCACUGCUGAGCAUGGGGCAGGUGUGUGCACUGAGGCACACGGAGGCUGGCGCCCAGGGCAGCUGCCACAGCUCUCUGGGGACAGGGACAACAAUCCGGCCUCCCCAACCUUCUCAGUCUGGCCUGUGGCCUCUGCCUCUCACGCAGGGUCCUUCACCAGGGUCCUCAACCUCGCAGGCUGCUCCCCUCUUGGGGCCGAGCAGGCACCUGGACUGGUUCCCUCUGCUUGUCCAGCCUUAGUGCCACCUCCGGAGGGCCUUCUCUGACCCCAGGCCACGGCUUCUCUUCACUCUCAGGCUCCUGUGGGAUCCUCGUGGAUUUCACAGUCGCCUGUCCUCUCGGCUGGGACCCUCCCGAAGCACAGGCAACCCUGUGGUGUACCCGGCCAUUCUAGAUCCCAAGGAUAUGGGGACAUGCAGAAGCUGCUUCCUGCCAUCACGGAGUACAUGACAUCACUGAAGACAGAAAUAAUGUGGGAUUACAUUACCAGAUUACAAAAUAAAGAUGCCAUAGUCGAUAGCCACUUAGAAAGCUUACUGGGAAAAUAGUGACAAUUGCCACUGUAGGAAUCAUACAGGUGGGGCUGGGGCUAUAGCUCAUUGGUAGAGUGCCCGCCUGGUAUGAGGUACUGGGUUCGAUCCUCAGCACCACACAAAAAUAAAAUAAAGAUAUUGUGUCCAAUUACAACUGAAAAAUAUUUUUUAAAAAAUCAUACAGGUGUGUGUGUAGGGGAAGCUGGGGAUAUAGCUCAGUUGGUAGAGUGCUUGCCUCUCAUGCACAAGGGCCUGGGUUCAAUCCCCAGCACCACACACACACACACACACACACACACACACACAUCACACAGGUGUUAGGCAAAGAAACUUCCAAAACUAUAGCACAAUGCAAAGCUUCAAUAUUUGGAGACUUUUACUUCAUUUUAAAACUGAAUAAGGAUGUCAUUUGUUUAACUGAAACACCUUUAAUACAAAACCAGUCAAAAUUCAGAUGGGAUUUUUGGUGUUGGAAGAAGUUUGACCAAAUUCUAUAAUCUACAUGAAAAUUACAUAGAAAAAUAUAUGCAAUUGGGAGUCAGCAAGAAUUUGUUUUGUUUAUGGUACUGGGGAUUGAACCCAGGGCUUAAGUAUGCUGGGCAAAUGCUUUACUACGGAGUUGCACCCAGCCCAAGUAUUUUUUUCUUUAAAGAAUGAUAAUGUCAGAAGCUUACACUGUCAGGCACUACGAUGUAUUCCAAAGCCAUAAUCAUCAUGGUAUUUUCUUGGCAGAUUGGGGAGCAGAGUAAGUCUGAAUAUAGAUCCAUGGGAAUUUAAGAAUUUGCUUUGUGAUAGAGAAUACUCAAGUCAGUUGUUCCCAUGACCUUGGACUUCAUUUGGGGUGGACAGAGAUGAACCUCUCUUCUCCCUCCAAAGAUAUUCUUCCAGGGGCUUUGCCAGCAAGAGGCUGACUAAAAGCAAUUAGUUCCAGUGUGCCCAGAGUGCUCCCUUCCCCUAUCUUAUAUGGUCCUCAGGAGGCAGCAUGAGAUCAAAUACACUAAAAAAGUAAAAUAAAGUCCACUCUAACCCUAGGAUUAAGUUAUCCAAACCUACCAUUGCAAAUUAGAAAAAGGGAGAGAAAGUGAAACUCCCUUGAGCCCACUAUGCACAUAUAUUUAUUUUUUUCCAAAACUGAGAUCAUAAAGUGUACGCAGUUUUGUAACCUGCUGAGUUCAUGUCAUAUCAUAUAUUGUGUUUAAAUAUAUUUUAAGCCUUUGAAAAUGUAA